RNAcentral lists this ribosomal RNA (253 nucleotides) under uncultured bacterium. Its description in RNAcentral is "partial 16S ribosomal RNA". It matches the Rfam family "Bacterial small subunit ribosomal RNA", at positions 524 to 776 of the family's 1533-position model. The record is from RNAcentral.
UACAGAGGGUGCGAGCGUUGUCCGGAAUCACUGGGCGUAAAGGGCGCGUAGGCGGUCUGGUAAGCGUGUGGUGAAAGCCCGGGGCUCAACCCCGGGUCGGCCGUGCGAACUGCUGGACUGGAGCAGAUCAGAGGCAGGCGGAAUUCCGGGUGUAGCGGUGGAAUGCGUAGAGAUCCGGAAGAACACCGGUGGCGAAGGCGGCUUGCUGGGCCGGACCUGACGCUGAGACGCGAAGGCGUGGGGAGCGAACGGG